Molecule: long non-coding RNA, 5334 nt
Organism: Equus caballus (horse)
Lineage: Eukaryota; Metazoa; Chordata; Mammalia; Perissodactyla; Equidae
Source: Ensembl
CUUCUUUGUGUCAACUCUAAAAUUUACGUUUUGUUUAUUUUUUAGUAAUUUCUAUUUCUCCGUUGAACUUUAUUAUUUGCUACGUCAUUAUCACCAUAUUUUUCCCUUAAUUCUUUAAAUAAGGUUUCCGUUAAUUCUUUGAAUAUAGUUAUAAGUUGCUUUGACAUCUUUUUUUGGCAAAUCCACCAUAUGGGCUCACUCAGAGUUAGUUUCUUUUGACCACUUUUAAAAAUUCCUGGAUAUGGGUCACAUUUUUCUGUUUCUUUGCAAAUCCCAAUUGUUUUCGUUUGAAACUGGACAUUUUAGGUAAUACAUUUAAGAAAUUAUGAAUUCUGAUCUUCCCCCGGGGGUUGUUGUUACUGGUUUUGUUUUGUUUUUUUAAUUGCUUGUACUUAGAAAGUCUUCCACCAUCUAUUGGUGAAUUUUUGUGUGGGGUGGUUAGUGCAUUCAAAAUUCAGGCACUUUUCUAAUUUGUUCCAGGUUUUCUUUUCACUAGGCCCUCGUACAUCUUUCUUGCAUAAGUUCACAGCCUCUUUCAGCUAUCAUUGUGUGGAGAUUGUGGGCUCUGGCAGGUCAUUUCUGUGUGUUCACACAGACUCUAAAUUAGCUUGGAGUAUGUGGUAGAAUUGAGCCCCCUUGGGUUCUCCCCUGCAUGUGUAUGUCACCUUAGCCAGGAAUAUGUGGAGAAAUUAUCUAGUCCAUCUAUCAUUCUCUCAUUUCUAGGACCUCCUCGUUAAACUUCUAGUCCUUUGAUCUGCUGCCUUUGACAAGUGGAAUCACAACUCAGGCUAGCAGAACUGUGUGCUUUCCUGUUCAUUUUCUACCAAGUUUUCUAUUUUUACUAACAGAGUGACUGGGAAUGGAGUUUGUGUCCUCUGCUCAAAAACAAGUUAGCCCCUGCCAACAGUGAAGUGAGUUGUUUUCAUGACCAGCUCUGCCCUGGCAUUCUACCAUCUGAGCUGUGGGAAGAGAUGGAGUGACCUCAGAGAAGAAUGCUACAGAUUCCCACUCUUCUUACCUGAUGGUCAGCAGCUGUUUAUAAACAAACACUUCUUAAUUUGUUUUUUACCUUUGGUUGAUAUCCAGAACCCUUUGAUGAUUGCUUUUGACAAUUUUGUCAGUUUUAUAGAUUUUGAUUUUUUUGAGAGAGAGGGUUUGCUGACUUCUUUACUCUGCCACCACUAGAAGAUUUGGCCCCUUACUUCUUGACACAGCAGCUAACUGCAAAAGCCUGGGAAUGAUUUAAUUUAACUGAAAAUGACUAAAGUGAGCAUAGCUGGUUAACAGCGACCACAGGUUCUUUGUACUUCACCUAUCAAGAGGUGAAGUCUGUGUCCCUCUUCCCCACUCCAACCAACCCUCAAAGUCCCUGGAAUCUAGGAGGCUCUGUGAAAACUUUGACUUAUAGAAUACAACAAAAGUCACUCUCAGCUAAUUUCAUGGCCUAGGACUUAAGAUAUUGACAGCUCUCACUUUUUUUCACUUUCUUGUUAUGAUGCUGUGAGGGAGACGCAGCAGUGUGGAAAAGCUUCGUGGAAAGGCACUAAGAUACCUGACCAAUAGCCUCAGCUGAGUACCAACUUGCCAGCUGUGGGCAAGGCUGCUAAAGAAAUGGAAGCAGCACAGGCAGCAGGAGGCUUGCUCAGAACUAGAAACUUGGGGCUGCCUUGGCUGAAGCAGUUUUCCUUCUCAGCACUGGAGUGUUGGGGCAGGAAGAGAAAUGAGGGUGCAGGGGAAAAGAAGAAGGGAAAAUCUGUGAGUAUACAAAAACUUGCAUUUGUCUCUAUUUGAGUCUAUUUCAAUUUUAAACUGUCUCUGGAAAGGAAAACGGUAAAAGCUUAAAAGAGAGGGAACUUGGCAUCAUUGUAUUCUGCUCUUUAUCUGCCAUGUUAAUAUAGGCCUGUUUGCUCUAAACGAGGUUGACAUACCCUUUCAUGAUCUAUCAAUGAUCUAUUAGAAAUCCUGACAUCCUUCAUUCUACGAAAAACAAGCAGCAUCUUUCAUAGUGUGAUAGAAAGCACGGGGGCAGUAUGAUUUGUAGUUGUUUGGGUAUUUGGUUUUUAAAAUUAUAUUUAUUAACUUUAUAAAAUGUUGAGGGUUGAAUGAAUGUCAAAGAACAAAUACAUCUAGCUUAUGUUUGUUGCAUUUCUCCUGGCUUGAUUUUUCGUUUACUGAGAAAUGACAAUAUUCAGGAGCUAUUGGCAGGUGAAAUCAGACCCUGAGAACUUUGGUUGGGCCUGGAGAAGAGCUUUUGUAUAUACAUCAGAAUUAGUUGCAUUCUUUUAAACUGAUGAGAGCAUUCCUAACUGAUUUUCAUAGGAAAUUAGCUUCAUUUGAUGGCAGAAGUAAAUUCAUCUACUUUUGGCUGACUCAUUCCUAUUACAAUGUUGGUCUACUCAGAAGGUGGGAUCAGCUGCCUGUCUUUGGGCCUCUGUAGAACCCUGACAAUAUAAUGGACCUAUUCUCUAGUUAAUUCAUGGUGUCUGGUGUGUGCCUACCAGUUUAACAGAUGGAUCUCUAGUCAGCCUCCUCUCAAACUCUUUAUUAAAUAUUUAUAGAGCCAGAGCGCAAGUAGACCCAGCUUUGCCCCUGGAAUUAUGUGCAUGGACCUCUAGACGAGGGAGGUUAUCCACUCAGUCAGCUCAGGGAGCAGAGACAAAAUAUUUCCUCCAAGAAGUUUCCAGAAGCACAUUGAGUAGUUUUACGUUAUACGCCGUGAUGAGAUCAUGAGUAUUCCAGCAGUAUUCUGUAAACAUGAUGUUAUCUUGAAAAUACAAAGCUAUUAUUAGUGUGGGAAGAUAAGAGAUGUCCACCAAAUUCAUGAGUAAAUCUGAGUAUUUGGGGACAGGUUUUAUCACUCCAUGAAAAAAAUGUGCAAAUGAAUAAUGACACCUUUUGCUUAAGUAGCACAUAUAUACAUGGAGAGAUGCCAGAAGAAAGUGCUAAUGAGAUAAGUUUGUGAAAACUGAGUAGAUUUAAAAACACUUAAAAUAAAAUAUCAUGCAUUGGACACGUAAAGGAAGGUGAUAAAAUGAAAAUUCCAAAGUAGUUCAAAUCUUUAACUGAGUCAAGGCCGGGGGUGGGGGGGGGUGCAUGGUGAGGGAUGCUGAGGAAGCUCACUCAAGCAGAGGCGUCCUGGUGAUCUCAGAGAAGGCCCUUCUCUGUAGACCAAACGGUGCUUGAGUUAAGAGCAGAAGAAGUGGUCAUCAGGCUGUAGACUAUGAGAGAAGACUCCUGAGUUUUAAGAUGUGCUGUAGUGCUGCUGGAAGAAUGCCACGACCACAACCCUCAUGCUGCACUUAUGAGUUACAUAGUCAUUGGGCUAGAGAGGACUUUCUGAGCUUCAGUCCUUUUUUGGACAGUCCCCUUGAAAAUUAUCCCAAAGACUUAGAGACUAAUCUGGGGAAACAUCACUGUGCCAGAUUAUAACCACAUACUUAAUUUUAAUGCCAUCAGAUAAAUUACUAACUCCAUCCCUCAAAGGUAUUUCAGUGGUUUCAGGAAGUUUUUUAAGAUCUUCUUAUUUAAAAUUUUAAAUGACUGCUAAUUUGGCAGUAUAUAAAACCAUGAAUGUCCUUUUCACUUGGCUAACUCCUUGAAUGAAAUCGUUAUAUUAUGACAAUAAAUGUAUUUUAUGAUAAAUAAUCUUACUGUUAUAAAUACUUUAGUUGCUGUUUUCUUGUUGCCAACAAAGUUACUAGCUGUUCUUCCAUGCUAAAAGGCAUCUUCUUUUGUUUCCAGUUUUAUUGACUUAGCUGUUCGUCACGAACAUUCUAAGGUGUUCAAGCCCUAUGUUAAUUGCUGUAGAAAGAUUUUAAAAGAAUAGACUCUUGACCAGUCCUUGCAUUUGGGGGAGUUUAUAAUGGAGUAGUAGGGGAGGGGAGAGGAAGUAUAAAUGAAAAGCAUCAAGAAUAUGUUUGUAGAAAACUGAGUUGGACGUGGCCAAGAGUACACACGCAGUGAAUGCAUGUUAUGAGCAGAUAGGGUUAAUCAAGGUUUUUCUUAGAGAUGUGUUGAUAUUUGUACAGUACUGAAAAUGAUGGCUGAGUUUAGCGUUUGCUACAUUAGUAGGAACUAAUGAGUUUUAGUUGAUGAGUUAACUAAUGUUAAUAAUAUGUAAGGUAGUGCUAUAGUCUGACUGUUUGUGUCUCUCUCAAAUUCAUGUGUUAAAAUCCUAAUCUCCAGUGUGAUGGUAUUAGGAGGUGGGGCCUUUAGGAGGUGAGUAGGUCAUGAGAGCAGAGGCCUUGUGAAUGGGAUCAGUGCCCUUAAAAAAGAGGCCCACAGCGCUCCCUAGCCCUCUCCACCAUGUGAAGAUACAACAAGAAGUCUGAGACCUGGAAGAGACUCCUCACCCACCCAUGCUGGCAUCUGAUCUCAGACUUCCAGCCUCUAGACCUGUGAGAAAUAAACUUCUGUUGCAUAAGCCACCGAUUCUGUGGUGUCUUACUACAACCUGAAUGAAAUAAUGAGGUGGGAUCCCUGAAAAUAUUCUUAGAGUCUAAUGUUAGCAUCACAAGUCUGGGCUUUGUAGGUCAGUGCAGGUGUUAGCUCUGACUGUUAAUAUGGAGAUGACUUAAGCAGAUACACAUGAAAGUUAAGAGCCUCCUCACUCAAGCUUGUCUACAGGAAGUGCUAUAUUUUGGAGAACGGCCCUGAUGAAGCAUCAGCAGUACAGCACCAGACCUCAGUUGACAACACACAGUUUAGACAGCCCAGGAACUCAGGUUGCUGUAGCAACACCUGUACUUCUUCUGGGUUGCCUCACUGGAGGGGUGGGCAGGUGUGUCCCUCUCCCCAGAGUGAAAACUUACCGCAUCAUGCAGCAUCCAGGGCACUUGCCCCUUCUGGAACCCAGUUCUGAGGAUUCCUGGCCAUGUUUGUUAAUCUGAGGAAAUGGGUUCGUGAAUAACACAGCAACACGGGUGCUGUGGGGUCCUGACACUGGGCCUUGUGUAAAGCCUUCUUCCAAUCUCUCAAAGGACAUCAAACCGCAAUUGGAGCUGUGUUAUACAGCAUUUGUAUAAUCAGAUAAGUUCUUGGAGGUAGAAGAAUUGAAGAAUAUCACAUCUGCUCACACUUGAGAUGUGUGAGAAAUAAUGAAAAAAUAAGGUACCUAUUAAAGUCUUCAGAAAGAAAAGCAAUAGGAAGUAUGGUCACACUUUAGGAUUUUUUGGGGGUAUAACUUUGGGUUUUUGUCUUUUUACAACCAUAGCUCAUUACAGAGGAAACUUUUAGACCUCAUUUUGAAACAGAGAUGAUAUUUCUCUGUCACAUAGCAAGAAGACCAUUGUGGAAAGUCAACUUUAUUGCCCACAGAAUUGAAACAAUAAAAUG